UGUUGGUCUGAGUGUACUGGUGUUUACAACUAAUUGAUCACAAGUAGUUACAGAUUCCUUUGUUCCCUCUCCACUCCCACUGCUUCACUUGACCAGCCUUAA
This 102-nucleotide Y RNA is filed under the name Microcebus murinus (gray mouse lemur). Its description in RNAcentral is "Y RNA (ENSMICG00000045249.1)". It matches the Rfam family "Y RNA". From Rfam's summary of the family: Y RNAs are components of the Ro ribonucleoprotein particle (Ro RNP), in association with Ro60 and La proteins. The Y RNAs and Ro60 and La proteins are well conserved, but the function of the Ro RNP is not known. Lineage: Eukaryota; Metazoa; Chordata; Mammalia; Primates; Cheirogaleidae. The record is from Rfam by way of RNAcentral.